AAGAUGAUUGACCUCAGCGCCUUCAGCCGCAAGCCCCGGACGCUCCGGCAUCUGCCCCGAACCCCGAGACCGGAGCUGGACGUGGCCCCGUAUGACCCUCACUUCCCGGCCCCGGCCCCGGCCCGGGAUGGCUUCCCCGAGCCCAGCAUGGCGCUGCCUGGGCCAGAGGCCUUGCCCACAGAGUGUGGGUUCGAGCCACCCCACCUGGCCCCGCUGAGUGACCCCGAGGCCCCCAGCAUGGAGUCCCCGGAGCCUGUCAAGCCGGAACAGGGCUUCGUGUGGCAGGAGGCCGGCGAGUUCGAGGCUGACGUGGCGGGUUCGACCGUGGAACGCCACAAGAAGGCCCAGCUGGAUCGGCUGGACAUCAACGUGCAGAUCGACGACUCCUACCUGGUGGAGGCAGGCGACCGCCAGAAGCGCUGGCAGUGCCGCAUGUGCGAGAAGUCCUACACGUCCAAGUACAACCUGGUGACGCACAUCCUGGGCCACAACGGCAUCAAGCCACACUCGUGCCCACACUGCAGCAAGCUCUUCAAGCAGCCCAGCCACCUGCAGACGCACCUGCUGACGCACCAGGGCACCCGGCCCCACAAGUGCCAGGUAUGCCACAAGGCCUUCACGCAGACCAGCCACCUCAAGCGCCACAUGCUGCUGCACUCGGAGGUCAAGCCCUACAGCUGCCACUUCUGUGGCCGCGGUUUCGCCUACCCCAGCGAGCUCAAGGCCCACGAAGUGAAGCACGAGAGUGGCCGCUGCCACGUCUGCGUCGAGUGCGGCCUGGACUUCUCCACCCUGACCCAGCUCAAGCGCCACCUGGCCUCUCAUCAGGGCCCCACCCUCUACCAGUGCCUCGAGUGUGACAAGUCCUUCCACUACCGCAGCCAGUUGCAGAACCACAUGCUCAAGCACCAGAACGUGCGGCCCUUCGUGUGCACUGAAUGCGGCAUGGAGUUCAGCCAGAUCCACCACCUCAAGCAGCACUCCCUCACCCACAAGGUAAGGCCAUCCCCAGGG
Cercocebus atys (sooty mangabey) is the source of this 1014-nucleotide RNA transcript. It is a transcript of the gene named zinc finger protein 710 pseudogene, with no coding region annotated. The record is from RefSeq and is a predicted model, not a curated record. Lineage: Eukaryota; Metazoa; Chordata; Mammalia; Primates; Cercopithecidae. The transcript has a single exon.